ACGCACGCUGGCGGCGUGCUUAACCCCUGCCAGUCGCACGGAAAGGCCCUGCUUUUGUGGGGUGCUCGAGUGGCGAACGGGUGAGUAACACGUGAGUAACCUGCCCUUGACUUUGGGAUAACUUCAGGAAACUGGGGCUAAUACCGGAUAGGAGCUCCUGCUGCAUGGUGGGGGUUGGAAAGUUUCGGCGGUUGGGGAUGGACUCGCGGCUUAUCAGCUUGUUGGUGGGGUAGUGGCUUACCAAGGCUUUGACGGGUAGCCGGUCUGAGAGGGUGACCGGUCAGAUGGGUCCCAAGGACUGCAUCAGAACAGUAAGGGGGGCAGCAGUGGAGAAUAGUGGCAAGGGGCAUGACGCCUGAUGUAGCAGCCUCGCGUGCGGGAUGACGGCCUUCGGGUGGUAUACCGCUUUCGCUUGUUCCGCCGCUAGAGCGACGGUCCCGGGUCAAUAAGCACCGGCUCACGACGUG
RNAcentral lists this ribosomal RNA (467 nucleotides) under uncultured bacterium. RNAcentral describes it as "partial 16S ribosomal RNA". It matches the Rfam family "Bacterial small subunit ribosomal RNA", at positions 29 to 507 of the family's 1533-position model. The record is from RNAcentral.